This 253-nucleotide ribosomal RNA is filed under the name uncultured bacterium. RNAcentral's name for it is "partial 16S ribosomal RNA". It matches the Rfam family "Bacterial small subunit ribosomal RNA", at positions 524 to 776 of the family's 1533-position model. The record is from RNAcentral.
UACGUAGGGUGCAAGCGUUGUCCGGAAUUAUUGGGCGUAAAGAGCUCGUAGGCGGUCUGUCGCGUCUGGUGUGAAAAUCCAGGGCUUAACCCUGGACCUGCAUCGGGUACGGGCAGACUAGAGUGCGGUAGGGGAGAUCGGAAUUCCUGGUGUAGCGGUGAAAUGCGCAGAUAUCAGGAGGAACACCGGUGGCGAAGGCGGAUCUCUGGGCCGUAACUGACGCUGAGGAGCGAAAGCGUGGGGAGCAAACAGG